Molecule: long non-coding RNA, 1787 nt
Filed under: Durio zibethinus
Lineage: Eukaryota; Viridiplantae; Streptophyta; Magnoliopsida; Malvales; Malvaceae
Description: long non-coding RNA (DZIB_LNC000660)
Source: RNAcentral
GCUCCCUCAAUCAUCAUCAAGGUGUAAGGCUACCGGACAGAAGCAGUCAUUAAAUUUUAUAGGGCCUUCAAUGCUUGCUUGUCAUCUAGCAACUGUAUUGCUCCAGGUCGAAUGCCCUCAACUGUUUUUCCAAUUCUGACAAUACUAAAACUGCAUGGCAAGAGCUGUAAAAUCCCAUAAGAUUGGACCUAGUGUCACUAGCCAUUGAAUUCCCAAGACUACAUCACACCCUUUCAAUGGUAGUACCAUGAAAUCUGUGAGAAAAUCAAGCCCUUGCACUGACCAGUUCACAUUUCUACAAAUACCCGAAGUAGUUAUACUUUGAUCAUUAGCCACUGUAACCCCAAAAUUGUGUGUACUUCUUGGCAAGAUUGGAGUCCACAAAAUUGUGUGUACUUCUUGAGUCAAUCAAGAUAACCAUUGCAUUAACUCUCAUAGUUUAAUACCCAGUUGUUUCCAUCAUAGUAUGUAAAGAGAUACUUGCAUGAGUGUCACCAGCAUUAUCCAACUUUUAACACUUCUGUGCUAUCAAUGCAGUCAGAUUCGUCUUCCUUCUCUUCACACCCUUCUGUUAUCAACUAGUACAAUUGUGACUUCAUGCAUUUGUGGUCUAGACCAAUAACAUAGUCCCUUCUCCCUUUUUUCCUCCAUUUCAGCUUGAGUAAGCCUUCUAGGACCAUUCCUUUGGUUGUUGUUUUGGUUUAUACUAGUGUUUGAUUUUGGAAAGGGUGUUGGUUGUUUAGGAUUGUGCAGAUUCAAGAGGUUUGGUCUAAACGGUAUUUUAGGGUUAGGCAAUAAGGGUGGCAACUGCGGGUUCCUCAAGUUUGUUGUGGCUACUUGGGAAUUGAUAUUGGUCAUGGGAAAUUGGUGGGUGAAAUGGUUUUCUUGAAGGCAGGAUAGAGUAUACCUUCAAUCUGGUUGGCAAGGUGCAAUGUUUAGUCAAGUGUUUUUGGCUUGAAGAGUCUAAAGGUUUGUGAGAUAUCAGGCUUCGAGUUACUGAUGAAUAUGCUAACAGAAUGAUCAUCACUCAACUACAGUAGGUUAAGGAUCCCCAUGAAAUCAUCAUGGUAUUGCUCGACACUGCCAAAUUGUCUUAAAUUAACUAGGUCUACCAUGGGAUCUUCAUAUUCCCCACACACAAAUCUAUCUUGCAUCUCAGCUAUAUAUGAAUUCCACUCCAGUCUGUCAAAACCCCCUUGCCUCCUACAAUAAUGUUGAUGUCACUUUAGUGCCUUCCUUUCUAAACUAAGCAUUGCAACUCUUACCUUAGAGCUCUCAGGCACUCUUUCAACCAUAAAAUAUUGCUCUAAUUUCAUAACCCACCCUUUAAAGUCAUCCCCAUUAAACUCAGGGCAUUCCAUUUUAAAAUGUCUAAAAUUUUCAAAAGUAGGCAUUCUUACUUGUGUCACCUUUUUCGAUGUUAUCUCUCCAUGCACCAACAUGAGAUCCCUUCCAUUUCUGUCCUCGGAUUCUCCUCUCGUGCAGCCAACAGAUCAAGAAAGUUCUUAAGCUCCUCUUUAAGCUUUUUUCUGGACACAUCAAUCUUCUCAUCCCUUUUUUUUUUAUCAGUCUGUUGAAUCUUAACUUGCAGCUGCAAAACAUCUUUUUGUAAUCUGGAAGUCACACUGUCUGCCAUGGUUGCCAAGAACGUAGCUCUGAUACUUUUGUUAUAAUCCUCUGGAUUCAAUCAAUUAACUAAAGUAAUUGAAUGAAGAACAAGAACAGAAUUGAUUCAAGAAAGAAAAGAACCAAGAAAAGGGAAGAAGAAGUCUUGAGAGAAUGAGAGA